AUGAAAAACGCUACCUACUCUAUCGUGUCCUGGAACGUUCACGGUCUAGGAGAUAAUGAUAAGUGCUCCAAUGUGUUCUCUGAAAUCAAUCUCCUACCCCCAUCCAUUGCCCUUCUUCAAGAAACCAAAUUACAAAAACCAGACACAAACAAACUACGAUCGAUCUUGCCGCGCUUCCUAGACUCUAAUAACCACCUCGACGCAAUCGGAACGGCGGGCGGCAUUCUCUCGGCUUCUAACUCACGUUGCUUCUCGCUUCUCAACUGCCAACACAUGCGUUUCACUUCCACAUUAACGCUAUCAUGUCUUGCAUCGCCACAUAAUAUCUUCAUCACUAAUGUCUACGCCCCCUCGCAACGAGAGCUAAAACUAGUCUUCCUUGACGAACUGAAACAGAUCGAACCACCACCUCAAUCUCCUUGGCUCCUAAUAGGUGAUUUCAACCUGACUCGAUUCCCCAAUGAACGCAACACCGACAACUUUAGACGAUCGGAGGCUGAUGCCUUUAACGACACCAUCGACCAACUUGCUCUCUUAGAGCUCCCGCUCCUUGAUAGAGAAUUUACCUGGUCAAAUAAAAGACUACCCCCCACGCUGAUUCGCCUAGAUAGGGUACUGAUCAAUCUAUCUUGGGAUGCUCUUUUCCCUAACUCACACCUCACCUCCCUCACUCGAUUUGUCUCUGAUCAUGUUCGACUCCUCGUUACCGUAUCCACAUCCGUCCCAUCUUCCCGCCUUUUUCGAUUUGAACAAUUUUGGACCUCCUUCCCAGCCUGUUCUAACAUUGUGCGCGGCUGCUGGCAGCCCGGCCCACAGCGCCACGGUGGGCGUUUCAUUGAUCCGGCGGCUUCGCUCGCUCAAAAAAUUAAAGGUACAAGAUCGGCCCUGAAGACUUGGGCCAAGUCGCUGCGGCCCAUCUAUCAACGGGAAACAAAUUGCAAACUCGCUCUCCAGGCCCUUGACCUAAACGAGGAAUUCGCUCCUCUCUUCCCGAUCGAACAAAAACUGAGGCUUACGCUCUCCAACUUGCUACAACAUACCAUCAAACAAAAAAUCGCCUUCUGGAAACAGAGGGGAAAGAUCAGGGUCGCCAUUGACAGUGACGAAAACACUCGAUUCUUCCAUGCCUCGGCUACGCAACGCUCUCGAUCAAACAAGAUUCCCAUGCUUUUACACAACACUUCCGAAGUUUUUCUGCACGAACAAAAAGCUGACAUCUUAAAGGACUUCUUCCAACAGCUCAUCGGGACCUCAAAAAAUGCAACAUGGAACUUCAGCUUGCAACAACUGUACCCCUCACCCCUCCCCCAGCUCAGUGAUCUUGCACAACCUUUCUCUUAUGACGAAAUAUACCAAGCCUUCCUCUCUAUGAACACCAAUGCUAGCCCUGGACCAGAUGGCUUUGGACCCAUCUUCUUCAGAAAAUAUUGGAAUGAUAUCAAAAAACCCAUCCUAACCUUCUUCGCCGCCUUCCAUGAUCAAACCGCUUCUUUAGAACGAUUCAACCGGGCCUACAUGGUCCUUCUUCCAAAAUCUCAGGCACCAACAACCCCAGACGCGUUUAGACCCAUAUCUCUUCAAAACUGCACGCCAAAAGCAGUUGCCAAAGUCCUCACCAGUAGAGUUAAACCUCUCAUCCCACUGCUCAUACAUUAUGACCAGACUGGCUUCCUUCAUGGACGUAGCAUUGCUGAAAACUUUAUAUACGCUGCCGAUAUCCUCAGUGCAUGCCACUCCCGUAAAGCCCCGACCAUGAUCUUCAAGCUCGAUUUCAGGAAAGCUUUUGACUCCAUAUGCUGGUCCUCCCUCAUACAAAUCUUACAAGCCCGCGGUUUUCCCUCUGACUUCUGUUCUUGGGUACAAAAUAUCCUUCUCACUGGGAAAACAACUAUCCUUUUAAAUGGCGUUCCAGGAUCCUGGAUUCAAUGUAGAUGUGGCCUCCGCCAAGGUGAUCCAUUCUCGCCAUACUUAUUCAUCAUCGUUGCCGACGUCCUUCAACGUCUAAUUGCAAAAGCGUUCCAAACCAACGUUCUUUGUCACCCGUUACGGCCUAAUGAACCACCUGUGACACUUCAAUACGCUGACGAUACACUGAUAAUUGCUGUGGCUAGCGACGCCGCCACCAUCAUCCUCAAAAACACCCUUCAUGACUUCGCCCUUGCAACGGGGCUAGUCAUCAACUUCCAAAAAACGGCUCUUCUCACCAUAGCCACCGACUCUUCCACGCAAAACAACAUUGCCACAACGAUUGGUUGUUCCUUAUCCUCCUUCCCGCUAGUGUAUCUAGGUCUACCACUCUCCCCCACCAAACUGCCUCUCACAGCUUUCGACCCAAUCAUAGACAGCUUUCGAAAAUUCCUCUUCGGUUGGGUGGCCCGCCUGCUCUCUCGGGGGGCACGUCUCACCCUGCUAACUGCGGUUCUUGACUCCUUAACAAUUUAUUUUAUGUCCGUCUUUCGCCUACCAAAAUCGAUCAGAGCCAAACUAGACGCCAUCCGGAGGGCGUUCUUCUGGUCUAACGAGCCAACCUGCACUGGGGCGAGCUGCUUGGUCGCGUGGAAAAAUGUUUGCAAACCUAAAGAUACUGGUGGUCUAGGCAUUAAAAAUCUGGAAGUUCAAAACCGCUGCUUGCUUAUGAAAUUCUCCUCCAAAAUUCUACAACACCCAAACAUCCCCUGGACCCAAUGGUACCACCACCAAUACCCUCUUGGCAUUGCAGCAAAAACCUCAAAACCCUCCUUCCUCUGGAAGAUCAUUAACAACAACUUGCCACUGCUAAUUUAG
This 2784-nucleotide ribosomal RNA is filed under the name Triticum aestivum (bread wheat). Its description in RNAcentral is "partial small subunit ribosomal RNA". The record is from RNAcentral. Lineage: Eukaryota; Viridiplantae; Streptophyta; Magnoliopsida; Poales; Poaceae.